CAAUAGCGUAUAUUUAAGUUGCUGCAGUUAAAAAGCUCGUAGUUGGAUUUCGGGUGGGAAUGGCCGGUCCGCCGUUUCGGUGUGCACUUGCUACGCCCACCUUGCUGCCGGGGACGUGCUCUUGAGUUCACGCUCGGGACACGGAGUCGGCGAGGUUACUUUGAGUAAAUUAGAGUGUUCAAAGCAGGCCUACGCUCUGAAUACAUUAGCAUGGAAUAACACGAUAGGACUCUGGCCUAUCUUGUUGGUCUGUAGGACCGGAGUAAUGAUUAAGAGGGACCGUCGGGGGCAUUCGUAUUUCAUUGUCAGAGGUGAAAUUCUUGGAUUUAUGAAAGACGAACUACUGCGAAAGCAUUUGCCAAGGAUGUUUUCAUUAA
This 377-nucleotide ribosomal RNA is filed under the name uncultured eukaryote. Its description in RNAcentral is "partial 18S ribosomal RNA". It matches the Rfam family "Eukaryotic small subunit ribosomal RNA", at positions 592 to 976 of the family's 1831-position model. The record is from RNAcentral.